GGCGAACGCUGGCGGCGUGCUUAACACAUGCAAGUCGAGCGGUAAGGCCCUUUCGGGGGUACGACGAGCGGCGAACGGGUGAGUAACACGUGGGUGACCUGCCCUCAGCUCUGGGAUAAGCCUGGGAAACCGGGUCUAAUACUGGAUAUGACUCCAUGACGCAUGUUGGUGGGGUGGAAAGCCUUGUGCGGCUGAGGAUGGGCCCGNGGCCUAUCAGCUUGUUGGUGGGGUGAGGGCCUACCAAGGCGACGACGGGUAGCCGGCCUG
RNAcentral lists this ribosomal RNA (267 nucleotides) under uncultured bacterium. RNAcentral describes it as "partial 16S ribosomal RNA". It matches the Rfam family "Bacterial small subunit ribosomal RNA", at positions 28 to 294 of the family's 1533-position model. The record is from RNAcentral.